GCGCACGGCACCACAGCAAGUGCGCCGCCUACAUAAGGGGCGCAGGCGCACGCCACCGGCAUCUCGUCGCAGGACGCCGCUGAAUACUCGCCGCAACCGCUGAAGCCGCCUACUUGUACCAAACAUGCCUGACCCGUGCUGCGGAACCGGAGGCACUUGCCAGGGAGCCGGCUGCAAGUGCGGAGCUUCUUGUACGUGCACCAACUGCGCGUGUGGCACCAAGGGCUCCUCCACAACCUCCAAGUGAGCUAGCUGGCCACGGUCGCUCAACCAAGGUGUGAAGACCCUGUUCUUCGACCUUCACCACACAUCAUCCCUUGUGUAUUAACAUAUUAGCAUAGCAUGUGAUCACCAAAAAUAAAGUAUUUAAUGUUUAAACAUA
Schistocerca piceifrons (Central American locust) is the source of this 382-nucleotide long non-coding RNA. RefSeq lists it as uncharacterized. NCBI's taxonomy places the organism in Eukaryota, Metazoa, Arthropoda, Insecta, Orthoptera, Acrididae. The transcript has 3 exons. The record is from RefSeq and is a predicted model, not a curated record.